RNAcentral lists this transfer RNA (73 nucleotides) under bacterium endosymbiont of Pedicinus badii. It matches the Rfam family "tRNA". From Rfam's summary of the family: Transfer RNA (tRNA) molecules are approximately 80 nucleotides in length. The record is from Rfam by way of RNAcentral. Lineage: Bacteria; Pseudomonadati; Pseudomonadota; Gammaproteobacteria.
AGGGAUGUAACUCAAUUGGUAGAGUAUCGGUCUCCAAAACCGAAAGUUGAGAGUUCGAAUCUCUCCGUCCCUG